AAAUUCAGUCAAAUGCAUUUAUUUAUUUAUUAUGCUGCGGUGAAAUUAAUGCAAAUUCAAGCUAGACUGUUAGUAGCUGUUUGUAGAUUUUGCAGGAAUUUUACAGUAUUUCAUACAGCAUAUCAUAAACCCUCAUAGCAAUGUAAUAAUCUAAGCAUUUCUUACAGACAGGUGUGUAAUCAAAGCAUGUCUGAAUGACAAAUUUUGCCAAAAAGUGUAUCUUUAAAUGUACAGCCAUUAGUAGUUGUACAGUAUUUCAUACAGUAUAUGAAUGCAAUGUAAUAUAAAAUAAUUUCUAAUCAAACUUGGUGAAGAGGAAUGUUCUCUGCUGCAUUUUCUUUCUGUUCGUCUUCCAAUCUUUUUCUUUCUUUGUCUAUUGCUUCUUGUUUUUUUCUGUCUUUCUCCUCUUUGCGCUUUAUAAUAAUAAGAAAAAUGAUGUAGAGACCGAAAAACACAGUAAGGCCAAUCAGCAGUCCCAUGGCUAUGAGCUGAAAGACAAUUGGUAAAGAUGGGGUGCUUUUUAUCAACUAUUUAAUUAACUUGGACAUAUAACUUAUUAACAGAUGUGUGCACAUUAACGACAAGUAGGAUAUUAAUAAUAUUUUAGUCAGAAUAUUACAAUAAGUGCAUCAACCAUACCUGAGACUCAAAAAGCAACUCUACAGACUGCUUUUUCAGGAAGUCGAAAUUUCUGUCCUCAGGUGGAGGUUGGCACCAUUUGUGGGGUACGUCUGUAGAAUUUACUUUCCAAGUGCCAUCCCAGGAGCUCCUCUUGCAAACAUAGUAGUGUCCGUCAAAGAACAACACAAAGAGCCACAAUAACACAACGAGCACCACUGAUAGCAAUACGCCAAACAAACGCAAAAUAUUACUGCAGUCACAGCAUUUCUCCAGCUUCUUGUACUGAUCCAUUUUGAUGAACACUGUGGCAAAGAGGAUGAUCAAACUUGAACAACUCAAAAGCACAUUUGAGACAAAAUUGUUGGAUGAGUUACACGGACAAAUAAACUCAGUCUCCAUCAGUUUUUCUACUACUAUUAGGAACAGGCUUAAGGCGAUAUCCGCUUGUACGAUGGGCUUCACAACCUCCACAAUUUUGGCUACUAUUUGUUUGGAUGCUGGUCCUGUGGAUCCUUUUUUUCCGGAUGCUGAAGCCAUGAUUCUGUAUGCUGCGUGACGAAGAGGGAAUCACUGAUUCUUGUGUUCAGGCCC
Molecule: long non-coding RNA, 1212 nt
Organism: Clupea harengus (Atlantic herring)
Lineage: Eukaryota; Metazoa; Chordata; Actinopteri; Clupeiformes; Clupeidae
Source: Ensembl